This 360-nucleotide transfer-messenger RNA is filed under the name Pirellulaceae bacterium. It matches the Rfam family "transfer-messenger RNA". From Rfam's summary of the family: Bacterial tmRNA, also known as 10Sa RNA or SsrA, is named for its dual tRNA and mRNA-like properties. Its role is to liberate the mRNA from a stalled ribosome. Lineage: Bacteria; Pseudomonadati; Planctomycetota; Planctomycetia; Pirellulales; Pirellulaceae. The record is from RNAcentral.
GGGGGCGAACUGGAUUCGACCGGGUAGCCUGAAGUGUAAGUGGCGUGUCGUGGUUGAUCAGUGGGCCACGUUAAAAGCUGAUCAAAUAUCUUAUUUGCCGAGGAAAACCUCGCAAUGGCCGCCUAGCAAAGGCGUCCCCGGCUGCGGGACUUCUCCGGAGAGUCCCAAAAGUCGGUAGCAAUUCCGGAUCGCUGCCAGUCAUGUCCAGCACGCUAGCGGCUAAACAAAGUUCUGGGAUAGUCCACGUGAGAUCGCGUCGAUUCGAGCUCAAGUGGGUGAACGACAAAUAGUCGACUACACACGUAGAAGCUUGCGCGGAAAUACCGCGGGACGCGGGUUCGAUUCCCGCCGCCUCCACUC